This is a long non-coding RNA of Octopus sinensis (East Asian common octopus), 696 nucleotides long. RefSeq lists it as uncharacterized. NCBI's taxonomy places the organism in Eukaryota, Metazoa, Mollusca, Cephalopoda, Octopoda, Octopodidae. The record is from RefSeq and is a predicted model, not a curated record. The transcript has 4 exons.
CACUCUUUGCCCUGCAGUACCUCGAAGCUUUGUCACACUUCUGAUAAAAAUAAAUCAUGAAUAGAUAAAUGAAUAAGUAGGUAAAUGGAUAUAUGAAGUGUUUUCCAAGAAAAUAUUGUCUUUUUCUUCUCCAGGUCAUUGCAGCCAGAACCUCAGAGGCAACAGGACAGGAUAAACUCAAAACUUCAUCGUCACAUCAUUCGCUACAGAAAUGGCUGAAGAGGCAACUACAGUCCAGGAUAUGAUAAUAGUUGGUAUCGCAACAUUUCUUGGUGGAAUAUUACUAGGGCCCGCUGGUCUUGCUGUUGGUGGUGCAGUUGGGGGACUUGCCGCUUUUGUAACGUCUAGAAAUAGAAGAUGAUUACUGUGCAACAAGAUGAAGGAUGUUGGUAUAUCAGCUUCUCCACAGCUCUUGAGCUACAUUAAACCACAUAAACAUCUCUACAGAAAUAUUGUAAAGUGCUUGAAAUAAUUUUUAACAGAUGAACUUCAAAUGACUUUAAACAAUUAAUGUAUGAUUACUUACAAAAUCUAUUGGUAUAUUAAAAUAACAUUUCGGGAAAUAAUUUUUAUAAUUUUGAACUUAUACAAAGGUUUAAUUAUUCUAAAUAUGAUCCCUGAAAGGCUAUUCCUUUCAAGGUCAUUUAUGCCUCUUCAAUAAAAAUUUUAAGAUUUUGAUGCCAAGAAUUCCUUAAA